RNAcentral lists this transfer RNA (72 nucleotides) under Candidatus Woesebacteria bacterium RIFCSPHIGHO2_01_FULL_39_17. RNAcentral describes it as "tRNA-Val". It matches the Rfam family "tRNA". From Rfam's summary of the family: Transfer RNA (tRNA) molecules are approximately 80 nucleotides in length. Their secondary structure includes four short double-helical elements and three loops (D, anti-codon, and T loops). Further hydrogen bonds mediate the characteristic L-shaped molecular structure. tRNAs have two regions of fundamental functional importance: the anti-codon, which is responsible for specific mRNA codon recognition, and the 3' end, to which the tRNAs corresponding amino acid is attached (by aminoacyl-tRNA synthetases). tRNAs cope with the degeneracy of the genetic code in two manners: having more than one tRNA (with a specific anti-codon) for a particular amino acid; and 'wobble' base-pairing, i.e. permitting non-standard base-pairing at the 3rd anti-codon position. The record is from RNAcentral. RNAcentral also lists the same sequence under 1 other name. Lineage: Bacteria; Candidatus Woeseibacteriota.
GGGUGCUUAGCUCAGUGGUAGAGCGAUCGCUUCACAUGCGAUAGGUCGUAGGUUCGAAUCCUACAGUACCCA